UACGAAGGGGGCUAGCGUUGUUCGGAAUUACUGGGCGUAAAGGGCGCGUAGGCGGUGUGUCAAGUCAGGCGUGAAAGCCCCGGGCUCAACCUGGGAACCGCGCUUGAGACUGGCACGCUAGAGUUCGGGAGAGGUGAGUGGAACUCCGAGUGUAGAGGUGAAAUUCGUAGAUAUUCGGAAGAACCCCAGUGGCGGAGGCGGCUCCCUGGGCCGGUACUGGCGCUGAUGUGCCAAAGCGUGGGGAGCAAACAGG
Molecule: ribosomal RNA, 253 nt
Filed under: uncultured bacterium
Lineage: Bacteria
Description: partial 16S ribosomal RNA
Rfam family: Bacterial small subunit ribosomal RNA
Source: RNAcentral